Molecule: ribosomal RNA, 502 nt
Filed under: uncultured bacterium
Lineage: Bacteria
Description: bacterial SSU rRNA
Rfam family: Bacterial small subunit ribosomal RNA
Source: RNAcentral
GCCUAAUACAUGCAAGUCGAACGCACUCUCGUUUAGAUUGAAGGAGCUUGCUCCUGAUUGAUAAGCAUUUGAGUGAGUGGCGGACGGGUGAGUAACACGUGGGUAACCUGCCCUAAAGUGGGGGAUAACAUUUGGAAACAGAUGCUAAUACCGCAUAAAACCUAGCACCGCAUGGUGCAGGGUUGAAAGAUGGUUUCGGCUAUCACUUUAGGAUGGACCCGCGGUGCAUUAGUUAGUUGGUGAGGUAAAGGCUCACCAAGACCGUGAUGCAUAGCCGACCUGAGAGGGUAAUCGGCCACACUGGGACUGAGACACGGCCCAGACUCCUACGGGAGGCAGCAGUAGGGAAUCUUCCACAAUGGACGAAAGUCUGAUGGAGCAACGCCGCGUGAGUGAAGAAGGUUUUCGGAUCGUAAAACUCUGUUGUUGGAGAAGAAUGUAUCUGAUAGUAACUGAUCAGGUAGUGACGGUAUCCAACCAGAAAGCCACGGCUAACUACGUG